UCAUAUGACACAGAGACUUCCAAUGAAGAGAAAGAGAUGGUUUGGCACCCCAGCGUGAUAGCAACCAUUUUCACCUUGUGGCUAAAGGAAGGGGAUUCUAAAAGGUGUAGGCAAACCUGCACUUGGUCCACUGGCCAUCUUUUCUACUUUGUGUUGUUUCCUGAAGAAGUGAUUGCAAGCAUCAAUCUCAAGGAGGAUAUACCCAAGCUUUGAGGAAGACCUGGGUUCAAUUCUCACCAGUGGUACUUACAGACUAUAGGAGCCUGGAUGAGGAAGGCCUAGAGAAGAAACAUGAACUGCCAGAGGUCAAACAUUUAGUAAUUAGCAGGUCCAGGAUUUGAAUCCAGUUUCUCUUUGGCUCCAUUUGGACACCCAUCACUUGAUAUGGUGGGGAAACAAAGGAAUUGAAGCUAGGAGAGAUUACAUGACUUACCUAGGACUCCUUCAGCCUGAAUCUGUCUGCUCCUUGGUCUUCAUUUGUUUACAACCUGUAGACUGCUGUUAUCUCUUCAUCACCUGACUUG
Non-coding RNA from Phascolarctos cinereus (koala), 524 nucleotides. Lineage: Eukaryota; Metazoa; Chordata; Mammalia; Diprotodontia; Phascolarctidae. The record is from RefSeq and is a predicted model, not a curated record.